GUGGGGAAUAUUGGACAAUGGGCGAAAGCCUGAUCCAGCCAUGCCGCGUGUGUGAAGAAGGUCUUCGGAUUGUAAAGCACUUUAAGUUGGGAGGAAGGGCAGUAAGUUAAUACCUUGCUGUUUUGACGUUACCGACAGAAUAAGCACCGGCUAACUUCGUGCCAGCAGCCGCGGUAAUACGAAGGGUGCAAGCGUUAAUCGGAAUUACUGGGCGUAAAGCGCGCGUAGGUGGUUUUGUAAGUUGGGGGUGAAAUCCCCGGGCUCAACCUGGGAACUGCCUCCAAAACUGCAUGACUAGAGUACGGUAGAGGGUAGUGUAAUGUCCUGUGUAGCGGUGAAAUGCGUAGAUAUAGGAAGGAACACCAGUGGCGAAGGCGACUACCUGGACUGAUACUGACACUGAGGUGCGAAAGCGUGGGGAGCAAACAGGAUUAGAAACCCUAGUAGUCC
RNAcentral lists this ribosomal RNA (450 nucleotides) under uncultured bacterium. RNAcentral describes it as "partial 16S ribosomal RNA". It matches the Rfam family "Bacterial small subunit ribosomal RNA", at positions 354 to 796 of the family's 1533-position model. The record is from RNAcentral.